RNAcentral lists this ribosomal RNA (300 nucleotides) under uncultured Lactobacillus sp. Its description in RNAcentral is "bacterial SSU rRNA". It matches the Rfam family "Bacterial small subunit ribosomal RNA", at positions 496 to 795 of the family's 1533-position model. The record is from RNAcentral. Lineage: Bacteria; Bacillati; Bacillota; Bacilli; Lactobacillales; Lactobacillaceae.
GCUCGAUACGGGGCGGGAGGCGGGGUAAUAGGUAGGGGGCUAGCGUUGUCCGGAAUGAGUGGGCGUAGAGCGCGUGUAGGCGGUCCGGGACGGCCGCUGUGAAAGUCGGUGGCUCAACCCUCGGAUGCCGGUGGAUACUGUCGGGCUUGAGUACGGAAGAGGCGAGUGGAAUUCCUGGUGUAGCGGUGAAAUGCGCAGAUAUCAGGAGGAACACCGAUUGCGAAGGCAGCUCGCUGGGACGUUACUGACGCUGAGACGCGAAAGCGUGGGGAGCAAACAGGAUUAGAUACCCGUGUAGUC